RNAcentral lists this ribosomal RNA (583 nucleotides) under uncultured Pleosporales. RNAcentral describes it as "eukaryotic LSU rRNA". The stretch from base 213 to 366 matches the Rfam family "5.8S ribosomal RNA". The record is from RNAcentral. Lineage: Eukaryota; Fungi; Ascomycota; Dothideomycetes; Pleosporales.
GUUCGUAGGUGACCUGCGGAGGAUCAUUACAAGAAUCGAGGCUAACGCGCCUGCCGGGGCUUUGUGCGCCCGUGCUAGGUUGCGUGCGGCCCCGCUCCUUACCUUGCCUACUGCACCGUUCGUUGCUUCCUGGCGGUGGAACGCCGCCGCCAGGGACCUUCUAAAAGUCUUGUAUAGAAGCAUUGAAACCCCUGAUAUACACUAAAUCGUACAACUUUCAACAAUGGAUCUCUUGGUUCUGGCAUCGAUGAAGAACGCAGCGAAAUGCGAUAAGUAGUGUGAAUUGCAGAAUUCAGUGAAUCAUCGAAUCUUUGAACGCACAUUGCGCCCCUUGGUAUUCCAUGGGGCAUGCCUGUUCGAGCGUCAUCUGAACCCUCAAGCUCCGCUUGGUGUUGGGCGUCUGUCCCGCUUCGCGCGCGGACUCGCCCCAAAGGUAUUGGCAGCGGUCGUGCCAGCUUCUCGCGCAGCACAUUGCGCUUCUCGAGGCACCGGCGGGCCCGCGUCCAUCAAGCUCACCCCCCCAGUUUGACCUCGGAUCAGGUAGGGAUACCCGCUGAACUUAAGCAUAUCAAUAAGCGGAGGA